CCACAGAGUAUGAAUCCACCAAUAUCUCUUGUUAUAGGCGACAGGGACAAGUGUGUAUAUCUCGCCUGAGCAGGUAGUCGGGAUGCAGGUAAAAGCACAUACGAGGACUUCACACAUGAGUUACUGGGGGGGCCCGGCGGGGACCACCAUCAUUCAGGCCCAUCGGAGCGGUAGAUCCGAGUCUAAAAAUCCACCUCCUCUCAGCUGACCUUCUCUGGACCAGAGUCCAACCUAGAUUGGUCUCCAGGCCAGAGAGGGAAAAGCUAGAGUUAUCAUGCAUGGCAAAGUGGGCGUAUAAUAAUUUCGUAACCGUCCCCCUCUGAAUAUGAUAGAUGUGCUGAUAAAGUCUCUGCUUUAAAGUGGCACCUGUUUCACCCACAUAGAUGGCUCUGCAUUUGCUGCAUUGGAUGGCAUAGACAACGUUGGUAGAAAGCAGCGAGAAGGUCUGCCAGAUGGGGGCGCCAGAUUGUAAAUUGUAGAUAUACUUUAGAGAAGUUGGCCCGGUCAGAUGGGAAGAGAGCGGCUACUUCCUGUUUGAUGGUACGGAGAAAGCGUCUGGAGUACCCGCGGGGUCUAAGGGCCUCAAAGAGGGUCCUUGUAGCCUCCUCUACAUG
Molecule: long non-coding RNA, 614 nt
Organism: Gadus macrocephalus (Pacific cod)
Lineage: Eukaryota; Metazoa; Chordata; Actinopteri; Gadiformes; Gadidae
Exons: 2
Source: RefSeq, a predicted model, not a curated record